GACGAACGCUGGCGGCGUGCCUAAUACAUGCAAGUUGAGCGAUGAAGAUUGGUGCUUGCACCAAUUUGAAGAGCAGCGAACGGGUGAGUAACGCGUGGGGAAUCUGCCUUUGAGCGGGGGACAACAUUUGGAAACGAAUGCUAAUACCGCAUAACAACUUUAAACAUAAGUUUUAAGUUUGAAAGAUGCAAUUGCAUCACUCAAAGAUGAUCCCGCGUUGUAUUAGCUAGUUGGUGAGGUAAAGGCUCACCAAGGCGAUGAUACAUAGCCGACCUGAGAGGGUGAUCGGCCACAUUGGGACGGGGACACGGCCCAAACUCCUACGGGAGGCAGCAGUAGGGAAUCUUCGGCAAUGGACGAAAGUCUGACCGAGAAACGCCGCGUGAGUGAAGAAGGUUUUCGGAUCGUAAAACUCUGUUGGUAGAGAAGAACGUUGGUGAGAGUGGAAAGCUCAUCAAGUGACGGUAACUACCCAGAAAGGGACGGCUAACUACGUG
RNAcentral lists this ribosomal RNA (497 nucleotides) under uncultured bacterium. RNAcentral's name for it is "partial 16S ribosomal RNA". It matches the Rfam family "Bacterial small subunit ribosomal RNA", at positions 28 to 507 of the family's 1533-position model. The record is from RNAcentral.